GGAGAGGUGGCCGAGUGGUCGAAGGCGGCUCACUGCUAAUGAGUUAUAGGAGUCUAAAACUCUUAUCGCGGGUUCAAAUCCCGCCCUCUCCU
Molecule: transfer RNA, 92 nt
Filed under: Abditibacteriota bacterium
Lineage: Bacteria; Pseudomonadati; Abditibacteriota
Description: tRNA-Ser(gct)
Rfam family: tRNA
About the family: Transfer RNA (tRNA) molecules are approximately 80 nucleotides in length.
Source: RNAcentral